RNAcentral lists this ribosomal RNA (253 nucleotides) under uncultured bacterium. RNAcentral's name for it is "partial 16S ribosomal RNA". It matches the Rfam family "Bacterial small subunit ribosomal RNA", at positions 524 to 776 of the family's 1533-position model. The record is from RNAcentral.
UACGUAGGGUGCAAGCGUUACUCGGAAUUAUUGGGCGUAAAGAGCUCGUAGGCGGUUUGUCGCGUCUGCUGUGAAAACCUAAGGCUCAACCUUGGGCUUGCAGUGGGUACGGGCAGACUAGAGUGCGGUAGGGGUGACUGGAAUUCCUGGUGUAGCGGUGGAAUGCGCAGAUAUCAGGAGGAACACCGAUGGCGAAGGCAGGUCACUGGGCCGCAACUGACGCUGAGGAGCGAAAGCAUGGGGAGCGAACAGG